CCCUAGUAACGGCGAGUGAAGCGGGAAGAGCUCAAGCUUAAAAUCUCCGUGCAAGUUUUGUGCGGCGAAUUGUAGUCUAUAGAGGCGUGGUCAGCGUGGGCGCUUGGGGCAAGUUCCUUGGAAGAGGACAGCAUGGAGGGUGAUACUCCCGUUCAUCCCUGAGUGGCUCGUGCGUACGACCCGUUUUCUUUGAGUCGCGUUGUUUGGGAAUGCAGCGCAAAGUAGGUGGUAAAUUCCAUCUAAAGCUAAAUAUUGGUGCGAGACCGAUAGCGAACAAGUACCGUGAGGGAAAGAUGAAAAGAACUUUGAAAAGAGAGUUAAAGAGUACCUGAAACUGCUGAAAGGGAACCGAAUCGUUUCCAGUGUCUAUAAUCUGUGGCAUAUUUCAUUGGCGAGCGUUUGCGUGCGUGUGCUGUGGCAGUGGCUUUUUUGGCUGCGCCUGGUGUGUGUGGUGUGAGUGUUUGCUGGUGCCCUGUGCUGCGGUGGGACGUCAAGGUCAGUUCGUAUGCUGCGGGAAAUGGCUGCCGAGGAGGUAGGGCUUACGCUCCGCGUUUGUCUGUUAUAUCUUGGUGGACGAGUCGUCGCGGUUGGGACUGAGGUGCCUACAACGUGCUUUUGAGUGGGUUUGUGUCUCCGUGUGCGCCGUGUGCGGAUAGCUUGCUAUGCGUGUGUGGUUGUGUGUGGAUUGAUGCGGGCCUUAACUUGUCGCCGUUCGGGACGU
Molecule: ribosomal RNA, 721 nt
Filed under: Phytophthora colocasiae
Lineage: Eukaryota; Oomycota; Peronosporomycetes; Peronosporales; Peronosporaceae
Description: eukaryotic LSU rRNA
Rfam family: Eukaryotic large subunit ribosomal RNA
Source: RNAcentral